This 729-nucleotide ribosomal RNA is filed under the name uncultured Pseudomonadota bacterium. RNAcentral's name for it is "bacterial SSU rRNA". It matches the Rfam family "Bacterial small subunit ribosomal RNA", at positions 32 to 756 of the family's 1533-position model. Lineage: Bacteria; Pseudomonadati; Pseudomonadota. The record is from RNAcentral.
AACGCUGGCGGCAGGCCUAACACAUGCAAGUCGAGCGGAUGACGGGAGCUUGCUCCUUGAUUCAGCGGCGGACGGGUGAGUAAUGCCUAGGAAUCUGCCUGGUAGUGGGGGACAACGUUUCGAAAGGAACGCUAAUACCGCAUACGUCCUACGGGAGAAAGCAGGGGACCUUCGGGCCUUGCGCUAUCAGAUGAGCCUAGGUCGGAUUAGCUAGUUGGUGGGGUAAUGGCUCACCAAGGCGACGAUCCGUAACUGGUCUGAGAGGAUGAUCAGUCACACUGGAACUGAGACACGGUCCAGACUCCUACGGGAGGCAGCAGUGGGGAAUAUUGGACAAUGGGCGAAAGCCUGAUCCAGCCAUGCCGCGUGUGUGAAGAAGGUCUUCGGAUUGUAAAGCACUUUAAGUUGGGAGGAAGGGCAGUAAGUUAAUACCUUGCUGUUUUGACGUUACCGACAGAAUAAGCACCGGCUAACUCUGUGCCAGCAGCCGCGGUAAUACAGAGGGUGCAAGCGUUAAUCGGAAUUACUGGGCGUAAAGCGCGCGUAGGUGGUUUGUUAAGUUGGAUGUGAAAGCCCCGGGCUCAACCUGGGAACUGCAUCCAAAACUGGCAAGCUAGAGUACGGUAGAGGGUGGUGGAAUUUCCUGUGUAGCGGUGAAAUGCGUAGAUAUAGGAAGGAACACCAGUGGCGAAGGCGACCACCUGGACUGAUACUGACACUGAGGUGCGA